CCAGUCCCAGUGUCCACUCUGGGGUCUUUUUUUCACUGUCCUCCUCCCCUCUCUGAAGUUGAACAUAAGCUCCUUGCGGGUGGCAUCUGGAACACUGGGCAGCUCGAGAGGGGAAAUGCCUCAACCGGCGCCACAGUAGACCAACUUCAGCAACACUGAUAAGAGCUUCCAUGCUUCAGUGCUUGAUCUGGGAACCUCAUCCCAGACAUUUUCUCCCUGAAUCACACCAAAGCCCUUUCCUGAUACACAGUGAGGACAGGAGCUGAGUCAGAAAAAAAAAAUCCAAGUCCAAGAGGAGAGAUCGUGAGAUCUAUUAAGAAACAGCAUGUGUACUUGAGAGGGGACCGAGAGCGAAGCUCUUUUUUCAUGGAGAAGCCCAGCGGCCCGACUCAUGAUUUCAACAACAACCCAGAGAAGCAGUGGCUCACUCAUCAUCUCUCCACAGAUAUCCUUUGUGAUUGACCCACAGCCGUAAACAAAUAAGUGGGCCAUAUUUGCUAGGAGAGGAGAUACCAGAAUGAACCACUAGACUGGUCUGAAUCAAGCCUGGUCCAGGACGGAAAGGAAGUCGCAUAAAGCCACUGGAAAGGGGACCUUGAGGAUUAGAAGAUGCUCUUACCCUCUUUGACCAAAGAAAAUCCCAAAAGCUAUUUCCCAAGGUCUGUUCGGGAUCUCCAAGAGCUGAGACAACUCCACAUCGUGGUCUGCAAAGGGAGAAGGGAGGGAGAAAAUUAAGAACUGAAAAUAAAAUAAAAUUGGAUUUAAAAAAGGAAUUAUGA
RNAcentral lists this long non-coding RNA (779 nucleotides) under Monodelphis domestica (gray short-tailed opossum). Its description in RNAcentral is "lncRNA (ENSMODG00000050307.1)". Lineage: Eukaryota; Metazoa; Chordata; Mammalia; Didelphimorphia; Didelphidae. The record is from RNAcentral.